AUUGAACGCUGGCGGAAUGCUUUACACAUGCAAGUCGAGCGGCAGCGCGGGGGCAACCCUGGCGGCGAGCGGCGAACGGGUGAGUAACAUAUCGGAACGUACCCAGUCGUGGGGGAUAACUAUCCGAAAGGAUAGCUAAUACCGCAUACGUCCUGAGGGAGAAAGCGGGGGAUCGCAAGACCUCGCGCGAUUGGAGCGGCCGAUAUCGGAUUAGCUAGUUGGUGAGGUAAAGGCUCACCAAGGCGACGAUCUGUAGCGGGUCUGAGAGGAUGAUCCGCCACACUGGAACUGAGACACGGUCCAGACUCCUACGGGAGGCAGCAGUGGGGAAUUUUGGACAAUGGGCGCAAGCCUGAUCCAGCCAUGCCGCGUGAGUGAAGAAGGCCUCGGUUGUAA
RNAcentral lists this ribosomal RNA (396 nucleotides) under uncultured bacterium. RNAcentral's name for it is "bacterial SSU rRNA". It matches the Rfam family "Bacterial small subunit ribosomal RNA", at positions 29 to 428 of the family's 1533-position model. The record is from RNAcentral.